Drosophila ficusphila is the source of this 808-nucleotide long non-coding RNA. RefSeq lists it as uncharacterized. The record is from RefSeq and is a predicted model, not a curated record. NCBI's taxonomy places the organism in Eukaryota, Metazoa, Arthropoda, Insecta, Diptera, Drosophilidae. The transcript has 3 exons.
CGACUACAGUCUCCUCCCACAGUGGCGUCGAUGAAGGGGAGUUUCGGACUGGUGGGAAAGGGGCUGGGCAAAUUGUAGUACAUAGUUUGCUGUUGCGAUAAAAACGAAAAUAAAAGCCGAAGCGAAGCAGAUAAAAUUAAAUAGUGACCGAGGUUGGACAGCAAAAAUUAAGGUGCUGCAAGAAGCGCGAGAUUCGCAAAGGUGGGGCUCUUUGUGGGCGGCACCUGCUACCGUGGGCGUGGUCCACGUGCAAAAACUAAUCGUUCAAUUAAGUUGCCCGCGAGGCGGCGAAGUGGCGUGGCACCCAUAACAUGUCCGAAACAAGCAGUGAACGCAAAAAGUUAAAGAAAAAAGAAGAGCUGCAAAAAUAGAGUUUGUGCAGAUUGUAUUAGGAAAUACAAAAUAAAGUGCACUGUGAAAAACUUUGUGGAUCUUAACUGGUGUUGAAGUGCCACUCCUUUUUUUACGGCGCUGCAACAAAGCAGCAGCAAGUUGGACCAGGAAACCCGGAGCGACUGAAACUGGAGCGAAACCAAAGCGCCGGAGCAUCGAACGGUUUUGAUUCAAUAAACGUCAGUAGGUGGAAACUUCCCGUAUUCGGCCUGCUUCCAAGCGAGACGCCAAGAAAGGGCAGAAUGCGGCAACGACAGCGAGGGAAUGCACUGGAGGAGACUCUGAAGACUCGAUGUCAGCGAAGGUACCAGUUAUCUUCCCGGAACGUAUUUCAUUCGCCUUCGAUGAGGAGAGUGCUAACUAAAUUAUUAAGAGUUAUAUUAAGACAUAUUGUAAUAAUAAUAAUUUUAAAACA